UAACGAUAAUGCGGGUGAAAAACCCGCACGCCGGAAGACCAAGGGUUCCUGUCCAACGUUAAUCGGGGCAGGGUGAGUCGACCCCUAAGGCGAGGCCGAAAGGCGUAGUCGAUGGGAAACAGGUUAAUAUUCCUGUACUUGGUGUUACUGCGAAGGGGGGACGGAGAAGGCUAUGUUAGCCGGGCGACGGUUGUCCCGGUUUAAGCAUGUAGGCGGAGGUUCCAGGUAAAUCCGGUACCUUUUUAACGCUGAGGUGUGAUGACGAGGCACUACGGUGCUGAAGUAACAAAUGCCCUGCUUCCAGGAAAAGCCUCUAAGCAUCAGGUAACACGAAAUCGUACCCCAAACCGACACAGGUGGUCAGGUAGAGAAUACCAAGGCGCUUGAGAGAACUCGGGUGAAGGAACUAGGCAAAAUGGUGCCGUAACUUCGGGAGAAGG
This 440-nucleotide ribosomal RNA is filed under the name Citrobacter freundii. RNAcentral's name for it is "partial 23S ribosomal RNA". It matches the Rfam family "Bacterial large subunit ribosomal RNA", at positions 1307 to 1746 of the family's 2925-position model. The record is from RNAcentral. Lineage: Bacteria; Pseudomonadati; Pseudomonadota; Gammaproteobacteria; Enterobacterales; Enterobacteriaceae.